UGGCAUCAUCAUUCAACCAAAGGAGCAAUCCGCUAUGAGAUGGACCCGCGGCGCAUUAGCUAGUUGGUGGGGUAACGGCCUACCAAGGCGACGAUGCGUAGCCGACCUGAGAGGGUGAUCGGCCACAUUGGGACUGAGACACGGCCCAGACUCCUACGGGAGGCAGCAGUGGGGAAUAUUGCACAAUGGGGGAAACCCUGAUGCAGCAACGCCGCGUGAGUGAUGAAGGUUUUCGGAUCGUAAAGCUCUGUCUUUGGGGAAGAUAAUGACGGUACCCAAGGAGGAAGCCACGGCUAACUACGUGCCAGCAGCCGCGG
Molecule: ribosomal RNA, 317 nt
Filed under: Staphylococcus aureus
Lineage: Bacteria; Bacillati; Bacillota; Bacilli; Caryophanales; Staphylococcaceae
Description: bacterial SSU rRNA
Rfam family: Bacterial small subunit ribosomal RNA
Source: RNAcentral